This is a long non-coding RNA of Dermacentor albipictus, 3168 nucleotides long. RefSeq lists it as uncharacterized. NCBI's taxonomy places the organism in Eukaryota, Metazoa, Arthropoda, Arachnida, Ixodida, Ixodidae. The record is from RefSeq and is a predicted model, not a curated record.
ACCCCAUGCACAUGUGCGAAGAGAGAGAGAGGAGGGGGCACGCGCGAUUAGCCAACACCACUUAGAUAGCACAAUAAGGCUUGUCUACUCCGAUGCAUGACGUCCCGCUGUCUGGCCCGAAAUAUCCAUUGACAAGGCUGGCGUGAUAUACGCUGGCGGCCCGACGCGCAUUUUUUUCGAAGCCGCAGAGCGAUGAUCGGUUCCUAGCUUAUGUGGCUUUUGCAGCUUUCAGCGCUUUUCGGAAAGACAACAAACGACCGACUGCUGACAGAUAACCAAGUGCCGAUUGUGCCACAAUGCAGAAGCCAUGGAAUAUCGGUGAAGAUUAUAUAUAAGCCUGCACCAUUUUCUGAAGGCCAAGAAAUGAAAGAACUGGGUGAGAAAGCUGUGAGAAAAGCAAAUGCUGUGAUGCUGCCCUUGACACCACGAUAGGCUGUGCAGUGGUGUGAUGUGUGACGAGAAGAAUGAAAAGCAAGAAGAGUUCAGAAUGCACCCCUUCACAACAUUAUCAAGCAAGUGCCGAGUGGACAGCUACUCAAUGACACAUGAAAGGACAGUAGAACGAAUUUAUAUUCUACUACUGUGCACUCUUCUGUAGCCGUGUACUUGUUACUGUGCAAUGUAGAAAGUAGUGCAACCAUCACCUGCCAUAGGUUGGUUUCCUCAACGCAAUGUAACAGUAAUGCCUAUCAAAUCACAGCUGCACCUGCCACUGAGCUGAAAUGGUCAGAUUUGUUGAUUAAUAGGAAUGAGAGGAAGUCGUCCACUGAUGUGUUACAGCUAAAACAGUUUAUGCCAAAAAUGUAACGCCCGACGGUCAGAUUGCUGCAAGACUUAAAUGUACGGGAGCAUGCUUGCUCAUUUGCUUCUUAGAUCUACUGACCAAACAGGUGACACAUGUGCUACCAAAUAAAAGCUAGCUCUAGCUGUACCUAAUAGCCAUUAGUUGUAUGGCUCGCAUCGACUGUGUGUGAGCAAUGUUUAUGCACUAUAAAAAUGCUUGCCGCUCUGUACAAAUGUAGAUCUCAUUGCUUGUAGACAAGUUUACAAGUGCUUUAAAAAACCGUGGUAUAAUAAACUUUGCCCGACAGUAUUUAUCUUGCUGACAGAGCGGUCACACACUUUUUCAAGCAAACUGUUUUCGUUUCCUUUUUUGGCCAUUUUUGUGGUUGGUGGUCGGACUUUCACAGCAGACACAAAGGUGCCGAUGAAAAUGGUACAUGCUGUCAUACAACCAAGUUAUGGGACGAGUUCAUCAGCGAAUGCCAACUAGGGAUACACAUGCUGUCGCACAUGACCUUUGCAGCAUCUGAAGGUUUAGACGCUGUGAUGGAGUGCUCAGCAAGGAUAGCACUCCCCUUCUCUCAUUGCACUCUCCCCCUGUGAUGGCUGCAGAAGAGAGCUCCAGGGAAGGGGAGGAGAAUGCCAGUCAUCUUCUACACUGGCACCACUGGAGACAACUCGCAUAUGAUAAAUUGACUAUAUGUAAAGCUACAUAUGUUAGCACUACAAAUGUGCUGAUUAAUGGCUUUGUUUUCAAUAGAACCACGCAAUGAAACAGCAAAAGCGCCAUCUAAAUAUCUCCGCUAUAACAAAUUACACAUGAUGAAGUGCAUUGUUGCUUUAAUAAAGCAAACAAACUUUCUAGAAGCAUUAGGCUAUCACUUACAUUGCUAAUCGUCAUUGAUGGAGUUAGUGAAAAUUAUGUUCAUUGCUCCUGUCUAACUAUACUGUACGAGUGCAAAUGGUGCUUUAUUGAGUAAUCUUCAAUUUUUAACAUGGAAGAACGACUUGGCUAAGCAUGCUUUUAUAGUAGAUAGCACGGAUGUCAGUGCAAGCUCAAUCAAUGCGAUUGGUUUGUGAUGUGGUGUGAGGCUUCUUUCGUUACGUGAUGUGCUGAAGUUAUAGGAUUUAAAAAAAAAAGAGUGUCCAUAAAUAAGGGCACAAACAUCAGCUCAUGCCAAAACUUGUUGAGCCUAUCUGCUUUUUCUAAGUGCAACAUCAGAUUAAAGCAUAAGGCUAUUUAUUGCAAUGCCAAAGGAAGGGACACGAGACACAAUGCUGGUGAAAACAUACUGCUGAAAUUUUACUUUUAGGAACUGAGCUGUCAUGACACACUCCCCUUUCACAAAUAUUGCAGCACUUCUGAACUAAAGCUUCUAUGUCCAAUUCACCCAGUCAAAGAAGAUAAUAAUUUUGCCUCUGUGAAGAGGGACAUAUAGAGUAGCAGGUGGCAGAGGCUUUAGGUGAAGCCUCAGUCUGAUCAUGGAAGACAAUAAAAUGAAGUCUUGAUAUUUUCCAACCGUUUACAUACAAAAAGCUCCAACAACAAAUUAGCACUUGAUAACAGGAAACUGCCCUUGAGCCUACAAUGAUGAGGGGAAAAAAAUAAGGAUAAUAAUAAUAAAAAAAAACAAUGACAUGAUUUGUCGUAACAAUACAUUGUAACACAUGCAACUUGACCAUGACAGCGGCACAGCACUGAUGAUCUCUAACAAUGUUUGGUUGCAACCUCGUUUCGUUCACAUUCGGAGUGAAUAUCACCGGUUCAUGGGAAGGUGUGCAACCACCAUGUCAUUCCCAUUCAAGCCAGUUCCCAGGGGAACACAAAGAAGGUAAAGACACACACAACCCCAACCACAUAGGUAAAAUCAACUUGGCCCAUUUGCAUUCCAGAGCUGCUGUUGCUGUAAUGCAUUUGGCAUACAGCAAACUCGCUUGGACUAAGAGGGAAUGACGAAAAGUGAUUGAACAGCACAGGAAGAUGGAAGAAAUAGGAACACUGCUGAGUGAAACGCACACCGCGCUCCCUGUUCCGGGGUUCCACACAGCUGUCUCUCAAGGAAUGUGGCGAACGGCAGGCACACCACAAAUCACACAAUCGCUACCAGUCCCGAGAAAAAGUGGCAGUCUCUGCUGAAAGAGUUGCAUCACAACCCAAGUGGAACUGAUGGAAGCUGUUGCGGCACAGAGCCUUGCAGCGAGAGCAUGCCCUCAUCGCACUGGUUUUACAGCUUCGUUCCUUCACCUGUUCCACAAGGUGACACGACCCAAGCUGGAAUUCACGUGCCUGAACUCUUGCAGGACAUUUAUAGAACAUUUGGAUGCACUUGGAAAAGUUGCAGCUCUGCAUGUAACUGACAAUACACACAAUAGAAAAAAAGAAAA